UUGUUGUUACAAUGAUUCUGCUUCCUGAACCAAACCAAUCUCGACUCCCCGCUAUCGCUUGUAACUGAUCUAAUUUAUCUACAUCAUCGAGUAUGAGAAGAACUCUUCUACUGUGAAGUCUUUCCUUUAUCAUAUUCAUUCCUCUGUGAACAUUGCCAAUCUUAAUCUUGUCUGUCUUCAGGAUAUCAAAAAGAAGUUGUUCUUGCAGUUUGACAUGACCAUUUGGCUGCUGUGAAAUUUCUCGAACAUUGGCAAGAAAACAUUUCCCAUCAAAACUAUGAAACAACUCAUUAUACAUGGCCUUGGCAAUGGUUGUUUUCCCUAUGCCUCCCAUUCCAUAUAUUCCUACAAUGCAGACCUCGCUUGAUCCAGCAUUUAACAAGAAGUUCAAUUGUUGCACACGAGGAUUUAUCCCAACUGGAUAGAAGGCUACGAACAAGUAUGUGCUCCUCAGUUCUCUCAAAAUCUCCCCAACAAUUUUCUUUAUAAAUUUUGCCUCAUGCCUGCAAUUAAUUGUCAACAAAAUAGUGAGACUUUAAGCAUAAAACAGCCAAUUAGAAUAUAUUAUGUAAAGCACAAUCCAAAAUAUUUUAUAAUUUGUAGUUUUCCUGAAGAAAAUCCAGCCCCAAGCAAAACAUCUCAUAUUCCUUGGAUCACCAUUUAGUUCCUCAACCCUGAAUUAUCUACUGAUAAUGAACUUCUUCGCAAUAUAUAUCGUUACUUAAAUUUUUAAAAUUAUUUAUUUCUUGAAAUCUUUUUAAUUAUAUAUUGGAUAGUGAUGCAUGAUAUCCAUACACCAUAUCGAUCACUCCUCACAAGCCAAAGAAGUGAUUUAUUGACAAAUGCUGCAUCUCGAAAAAAUCCCUAAGAUUCAAAUUUCGUUGUGUUCUUUCCCGGCUUUUGUAUUUAUCAGGACUUCAAAACAAAGAAAGUGAUUGGAUAGGGUAAGAUGUAGGAUGGAGCCUAUCAAUGAUGUUUUGGAAACUCUUUAGUAGCUCAUACUCACUGUAAUUGUGAUUUGGAUUUAAAAAAAAAUCAAGAUGAUAAAAAACUGUAUAAAAACUAAAUUGAAACCAAUUAGUCCUAUAAAAAUUAGAUAAAAAAUAAUUAAUCCUACAAAAACUAAAACAAAAUAUAUCAUGAAAAUCAAUUAAAAAAAUAAAAUGCUUAAAACAAUUCUUAAAAUGGCUUAUUUUUUGAAAAAAUUUAAAAUGAUAAUAUAUUUAAUUCAUCUGAGUUUCACGACAUAACAACACUAUGACAAUCAUGUAAAAGUAUUUAUUUCAACAAAUAAAUCCCACAAAAAAAAACAUCACAAAGAAAAAUUCAAAAUUAACUAAAUGUUGUUUUUUAAAAAGAAAUUAUUCAAACGACAAAAUACUGGAUCAACCUGAAUUUUUUAGAUUAACUUGUCAAACAUAUGACACAGGUUAUGGUCUUAACUAGAUUUAAUAAUUUUUUAUUAAAUUUAUUUUUUAUCUUAUAUAAUAUUUUUAUAAAAAAAACCUGAAAGAAGCUAGAUGUGUGACCAUGGUAGACCAAUAUACCUAGGCCAUCUAAAAGAAAGAGCUUGACCUACACACUUGGGCUUGUUUUUAUUUAUUUUUUUUAAUUUUUUAAGGACAAACGAUUUGUCAUCCAUCUCUUUUCUUUAAAAACUAAAUGGAUAACACAUCAACUGCUAUUAGCAAAAUUUUGUGACGGGAGGGUCACAAGAAAAACAUGGCUUUAGUUUUUUUUUUUCAAAAGACCUUAGUUUUUACUCAAAACAUCUAGAAAACACCCUCAACCUAUUUAUGGCCUCAAACCGCUUAAAAGCAGCUCAAAAACCCGAAAUCAAUCCAAAUCCAAAAAUCUUUCAAUAGGCAAAUCUACCUCCUCGUGAAAGGAGAACGAAGAAAAACACCUAGAUCAAACUUUUAUUAUCAAAUGGAACCUAUUAAAACUAAAAUUGAUCAUUUUGUGGUUAAAAGUGGUGUCUCUGAUGGUUUUUUCUCUAUAUAUCGGAAUCCAACUAGCCUCUCAUUCCUCUCACAAGAAAAUGAUCAAAAAAUAAGAAAAAUAAAGUUUGAUAUCAAAAUUGAAUUUCUAUAAACUAAAAGACCUAUUAUCUAUUAACAUAAAAAUAUGAGGGACCAAACUAAACUUUUUUAAAGAAAUGGUUAAUAGUUAAUAGUCAACAUACUUCUUAGAAUAAUGUGAUUUCUACGAAUUUUUUUUUAUUAUUAUUAAUUAACUCUUAGCCGCUACGGGAUUGUAGUAUCAUCAAAUGGUUAAUAGACAACACACUUCUUAUAAUUUUGUGAUUUCUACAAAAGAAAAUUGUUUAUUAAUUAUUUUCUUCCCAUCUCAAGUUAUUAAUUAAUUAAGUGAAUGAUCACAGAUCACAAUCUCUCUGUUUUGAAAUUCCCAAGCAGAAAGGUUUCGUGUUUCCGCCUGAGACUCGCACGUCAAGGACUCCUUUAAUAAUAACAUGUUCAUCCUUAAUAGCUUUGUAUGCCUGCCCCAAUCAUACGAUUUCGGAUGGUAGAAAAGAAAAACAAUUUAAAUGGUUCAAUUUUAUUUUUUUUAUUAUUAUUAUAUACAAAAGGUUCAAAUUUGAGCAUUUUAUCACUUAGAUCAUAUCAUUGAUAACAUAAGAAUUACUAUUAAUUCAAAUUGUAAAGUCAAUUAAAUUAGUAAGGAUCGAUGGUUAAUUUUAUGAGUGCUUACCCGUCUGCAACAUUCCUCAAAUCCCAUCCAGACAAAUUUGCAGCUUCAGUCAAAGCCAUCCUCCACGUCGCCACCAUGUCCUUGUCCAUCUGGAGCACAAGCCUUUCUUCAUGUUCAGCAAAGGCCUCGGCAAAACUUCCAGUUUGUUCGCUUACAUCAGAUGGAUCAACAUCAUAGAAUAUAGGAAAAACAAGUUGCCUACAACUUCUCCUACACUCCAUGAUCUUCACUAGUUCCUCAAGACACCAUCUUGAAUUUGCAUAAUUUCUUGAGAACACAAUGACUGAAACCCUAGACUUUUGGAUAGCUUGUAAUAGCUCCGUCGAAAUAUCUUCACCCCUUCGGAGCUCAUUGUCGUCUCUAAAUGUGUUGAUUCCAGCAUCUUUUAAGGAAAAGUAGAGAUGAUCGGUGAAAUUUUUGCGCGUGUCCUCACCUCUGAAACUCAAAAACACAUCAUAAAUCCACGGUUUUGAAGAUGAAGACGCAGUUGAAAAUGAAGAUGUCAUUGUAACAUGAAAGCUAUGGUGGUUCGAGUGGAAGAAAGAUAAUGACCAUAAAAGUUUAUGUGAAGGACACUUAUACAGUGAGAGAGACUUGAGUAAUCGCAAUUGGAGUAAUAUCUUUAUUCGUACUCUGAUAGAUUUAUUUAAAAAAUAAAAGAUCAACCAGACAUUUCUAUAAUUUAGUUGUUUUUUUAAAUUCCCUCUAUUCCUUAAAUAAUAUAACGUUCGUAGAUAACAUUUUAUAUCAUCACUCUGAAUUUAAUAAAAUAAAUAAAUUAUUUAUAAAAUUAUCAUUAUAUUUUAUUUAAUUUAAAACUCAAUCAAUUUGUCCACUAGCCAAGGUCAGAUGCAAAAACAAAUUAACCUAAAGUUGACUUAGUUUGGUAAAUUCAAUUAAAAGCUGUUUUGUGAUAUCAUUUUGAUUUAAUCAACUCAAUCCAGAAUAACUAGAGUCUUGAAUAGAGUUAUGGGCAAAGUUAAGUCUAAUAAUAUUAAUAAAUACUAAUUAGUUUUAAUGGUAAUAAAUUUGAGUUCUUUCAAAGCUAUUAGAGACUUAUAUAAUCAUUAAUUUUAGAGUUUGUAGGAUUAGUCGAUGUGUGUGCAAACUGAUUUGGAUACCGAUGUUAAUAAAAAAAAAACAAAUAUUAAUUAAUGAGAUGAUAAAGGUUAAAUAUUAAGAUAGUGUUUGGUAUUGCAAUAACAAUUAUUUUUUAAAUAUAUUUUUUAGAAAUGACUGAAAUCUUGACUUUGCAUAAUUUCUUGAGAACACAGUGACUGAAAUCCUAGACUUUUGGAUCGCUUGUAAUAGCUCCGUCGAAAUAUCUUCACCCCUUCGGAGCUCAUUGUCGUCUCUGAAUGUGUUGAUUCCAGCAUCUUUCAAGGCAAACUAGAGAUGAUCGGUGAAAUUUUUGCGCGUGUCCUCGCCUCUAAAACUCAAAAACACAUCAUAAAUCCACGGUUUUGAAGAUGAAUAUGAAGAUGAAGAUGAAGAUACAGAUGAAAAUGAAGAUGUUCAUUGUAACAUGAAAGCUAUGGAAGGAUUAAUUCUCCCUCAUACUCCGACGACCAAUGAAAAGUUGCGUAUAUAUACGAGUUCUCUUUUUUUGUCCCGAGAAUAUUAAUGCAGGAGGCAAGAUUUAUGCAUGUGAAAGCGUGAAAAAAUAUUUUUCAUGUUAUAUUUGUUUUUAUAUUUUAAAAGUAUUUUAAAAAUUUAUUUUAUUUUAUUUUAUUCUUUGUUUAAAAUUUUUAUUUUUGUGUUUUUAAAUUAUUUUAAUGAAUUGAUAUUAAAAAUAAUGUUUUAAAAAUAAAAAAAUAAAUUUUAAUACAAGUAAAAUUUAAAAACAAAAUGUGUGUCAUCAUUAACUUAUUAUCAAAUCUGAAAAAGUCACUUAAAGUAGAUAGGACUUGGGAGAAUGGUAGUAAUUAGGGGUGUUCACGGUCCGGUUCGGUUCGGUUUUAAUCUAAAAAUUCAACCGAACCGAAAAACAGUAUUUCUUAUUAAUAUAACACGAACCGAACCGAUAACCGGUUCAAACCGAACCGGUUUUGUUCGGUUCGGGUUGGUUUUUUAGCAUAAAAACUAGAAAAACCAGACUCAUCUUCAUCACUGAGCUAAAUCAAAGGAAAAAUCUGACAUCAAAUAUCAAUCUAAGCUAUUAAUCACAGCAACCACUUAGAAAUUCAAGAAAAGCAACUAGAAAAAGCAAAGCCAGCUGUGAAUGCAAAGCCAGCAGCAUCAGUUUGUCCUUUCAAAGCUGUGGAAUGUUUGCAGCUUAAUUCGGGAUCUGGGGAUUUUGGUAUUUUACUCACUGGCCUUUUUAGGGCACGGACAGCCUUUGCAUUUACUAACACGCAGGACAUGUAAUUGGAUUUGCAGCAGCCAGUGCGUGUUGUACUUUUGAUAGGGUUGCUAGGCUUUCAUCUUAAUGUGUAUAGUGCUUUAUGAACCUUGAGCAUAGAGCUGAGAGACUAGGGUCCAUUAAAGGAUAAGAGAACAAUGCACAAGCUCUGUCGGCUGAUCCGUGCUCUCUUUCUUCUAGGUUGGUUUCUUGUGAUCGGGGGGAAAUAGAAGGGAAGGCUUGAGGGGGGGGGUGACGGCUGGAAUGGAGAAAAGUGAUUUAGGGUUCUAGGAAGGGGAAGGAGAAGGGAAAGGGGAAGCCUGGAGGGGGAGAGGGGGGGUUGGCGACUAGAAAUGGAGAAAGUGAUUUAGGGUUUUGGGAAAGGGAAGGGAAAGGGAAAAAGGGGAAGGCUGGAGGGGGAGGGGGGUUGACGGCUGUUAAGAGUGUAAGUGAUUUAGGGUUAGGAAUUAUUCUUUUUAUACUCUUUUUUUAAACCGGUUCGGUUUGGUCCGGUUCAAUCGGUUUAAGCUUUUUUAAACCGGAAUCAAACUGGACCGGGUGGUUUUUUUUAUUUUUUAAUCGGUUUAUUCGGUUUUUUCUAUCGGUUCGAUUUUUUCGGUUAAUUUUUUCUCGGUUUUUUCAGUUUAAUCGGUUAGUCGGUUUUUUUUAACACCCCUAAUAGUAAUAAUAGAUUUUUGGAUUUGAUUAUUUUUCUUCUUUUAUUUUGAUCGUUUGAAAUGCUUUUUGGGAUUAAAAAUUAGAAUUUAAAAGGGCUUUUGAAAGGAUUUUGAAAUUAAAUAAAUUGUUUUUUUUUUAAUAAAAAAAAAUCUGCCAACCCUAAAUUUUUAGUGAGCUUUUGUCAUCGAAACACCAUAAUAAACAAUUCGUCAGCUUAGAAUGAGCGAUGCAUUGCCCUCAUCUACCCCUCUUUUUUAAAAAACAAUGCUUGGGUCAACUUUCCAAAUACAUACUUAUGAGCUAACUCACUAAUCGAGGUGUACCGCCACCUAGGCCUAGCGCAACCUAUCUCGAUUCUUUUUAAUUUAUCCUUUUUUUUCUUAAAUCCCAAAAAUUAAUUUUAUUUUUUAUAAAUAUUAUUUAUAUGUGAUUUUUUAGCCAAAUUAAUAAUUCAAAGUUAAAAUAAAAUAACUGCUUGAUAAGUUUUACCAAAUAUUGGUGUAGGAAUUAGAUAGAGAUUUUCUAUUCUUUUAAAAAAAUAUUUUAACUUAAUUUAAACAUCAAGAUAUGAUCAAAAUUUGUUAUUAAUUUAUUUGGGAAAACUAGAAAAUACAAGUUUUAAAUUAACACAUUUAAAAAAUAUAAGAAUUAUUUAACCAAAUUGACAUAAAUAGUAAAUUUAAGGAUUUUGAUUUUUUUCCCAAAAUGCUUACAUAAAAUCUUUAUUUUUCUCUCAUAAAUUAUAACUAAUGAUUCCUUUUUUGCACUAUUCAAAUCGACAUAAAUAUAAUAUAAAAUUUAAGGAUUUUGAUUUUUUUUCCCUCAAAAUGCAUACAUAAAAUCUUUAUUUUUCUAUCAUAAAUUAUUACUAAUAUCAAGAAAUCCAUUCUUUUUAUUGAAUAAGAAAUAUUUUUAAGAUCUUUGUAACAACUAAUAAAAAAUUUGUUUUUUCACUUUUCAAUGACAACUUACCAUUCAAUUUAUUAUUGAUACGCUAACUCUUACCUCUUUAAAGGCUAUCUUUAAAAUUAUUGCUUAUAUAAUAAUUAGGGACCAACAUUAGGGAUCAAUAAUUAAUUAUUCGAGUAAUUAUUUUAUUGAGCGGUCGUCUCUUCUUUUGCGUCAACUACUUGAUCAAUUUAACAAUGGGUUUUUAAUUUUAUAAAUAAUUUGUUUUUGUAUUUUAAAAAACUUAUUUUUUUAUUUUAAAUUAAUUUUUAAAAGAUUAAUUAGAUAUAUUAAUAUUAAAAAUUAAUUUUAAAAAAAAUUCAUAAAUUUUCAAAUAAAAAAUCACUUUAAAAAAUAUUCAUUAUUAUAAUAUCAAAUAUAUUUUAAAAAAAAAAUACACACAAGGUCAACUGCACGGCAUGAGACGCAUGUGCCGCGUGCAUCUUGCGAGGGCAUCGCUCAAAUAUGCUAUUUUUAUUUUUAUUUUUCUAUUGUUUGAAAAAAACCUCUCUUGAGUUCUCUUGUUAAUAAACAAUAUAUAUUCUGUCAAUGUCGGCCACAAAGAUAGCAACUUGCAGAGAUAGAUAUAGAACACAAUCCAAAUCCCUUUGAAAAACAUUUUAGUUAUACGUUACUGGGGAAUUCAAUUUUUUUUUUUUUACAAGGCUGGUUACCAAAUUAAUUGGAAAUAAAUAAUUUUUUUUAUUUUAAUUAUACUAUUAGAAUACAAAAAAAAUUAAAACUAGAGUCAAUAACCAAUUUUAUAUUCUUACAAUGGUUUUUACAUAAAUAUCAUGUUAAUUUGGUAUUUAACUAAACAUAAAAGAAUAAAAUAAAAAAUCAUAGUGUUGCUCAAUUGACUAGAAACAAAUAAUUUUUUUUUUUUUUUAAUUAUAGAUAGAAACAAUCAACAUACUGGCAGAAUAAAAAAAAUUAAAGCUAGAGUCAAUGGCCAAUUUUAUAUUUUUACAAUGAUUUUUAUAUAAUUAUCUUGAUCAAAUAAGGGUUAAAUGAGGGGAGGGGUAAUUUGAUAUUUGACUUUUUUUAUAAUUUAUUUUUUUAAAAAAAUUCUUUCAAUAUUUAAUUAAUUAAAAAUUAAAAAAAAAUCUAGAAGAUAUAAUUCAAGUCUAAUAAGAGGCCUGCGGAAUUUAGGGCACAAAACCACCCCAACAAAUAUUGUUGGUUGCAUGCGACGUGCAACUCGGAACAAAAGUUAUGGCGAAAAUACAGAGAGAGACGUAAAAAAUUCACAAAUCAGACUCCGACUAUCCUUGCGCUGGACUGUCCUGUCAGAAUAGUAUAGCACUUCCAAAAUCUCCUCCAUCACAAAUCACCCUUUACUACACAGGCAUAAUGUAUAGAUCAUUAUGUUCAACAAAAGCUUCAACAAAGACAACAUUGAAAACGCCAUGACCAGAAGAGUGAAGCUAUGCCACAUCCAUGUUUUCCUCGACACUCUGUUGACUGGUCUCAAACCUCAAUCUUUUUGCUUGAGAUGGGUUAUCACAGCUUGAUCCCUCCCCAUAAUCAUUAUCAAGACCUCUCUUACCUUCAAGCCUUGCCUCGUCUUGCUCAUAUACUAGGUAUACUCCAUUCUUCUUCACAGUCAUUGUAUUUCCACAAUCUACAAUAAGCUCAACUUCAUCUUCACUAUCGAGUUGGAAGCUCUUAUUUGAUAUAUGGCCCUGCCAGAGGUGAUCUUCACAGGAUUUUACUAAGUUAACUGCUACUCUCCGAGAAUCCUUGGUAAAACCCUUAGUAUGAUUAGUCAAUUUGAUUGUAAUACGUUUAGUUUGUUUUUUCUCUAAAUGAGAUGAGCAAACAAUGCACACAUUCAUGCCCUUCAAGUUCCUGCCGUCGAAUUUUGGUAGUUUAAACAAUAUUGAAGCACCCUCAUUCUUAUAGUUGAACAAAGCAGGAAUCUCAUUUCCAGGAAGUACCAAACCAGAAAUACAUCCCUGCACAAAGAGUACCAUUUUUAUUUUACAUGUUAAACAACAACAUCCAAAAAAAAAUGCUUAAAAAGUAAAGAUAGACAGAUAAGAAUACCUUGUGCAUGCUAUUUUUUAAAGUAUUUGAGAUACUGAAGCAACCUUCCAUGUCAAUGUCUGUAAUGGACGUUGAUUUAUCCAAUCCUGGAGCCUCAAUCAGUUUGGGGCAAUUAGCAAUGUACAGUAAACGCAUACGUGAAGCUACUGUUAUAUCUGGUAACCUUUCCAAUGAUGUGCAGUUCAAAGCGUGCAAGACAUCUAAAUUUCUAGGUAAAUCUGGAAUUGUUUGUAGCCAGCUGGUAGACUUUGAAAACUGUUACGGUCCAAUUCCAGUUUAGUUAGUGAGGGUAAACUCCCAAGAUCACUAGGAAGCGCAUCAUCAGAUAGAUUGCAAUCACUGAGCAAUAAUGAUGUGAGUCUGUUUAAGCCAUGAAAAGAAGGUGGCAGCAGGUUGGUUGGACUGGGACUUUUUCUUGGCAGAAACAAUGACAUCAAACGUGAAGGAAAUGUUGCGGAAGUUGAACCUUUACAGCCACAAAGUGAUAAAUCUUUGAGGUUCUUCAGUUUUACUAUGGUACUUGGUACCUGUCUUAUGGCAGUGUCAUCUGCAUGGAGAAUUGUCAAGGAUUCCAAAUCUCCCAAGUCCUCAGGCAAUUCAUCAAAUUUUGAGCAGCCUGAGAGGUAAAGAAUCUGGAUAGACUUCGACUUCCAGAAGCUGCUCGGGAGCCUCAUAAGUUGCUUGCAAUCUUUGAAAUUUACCAAAACAAGUCUUUCAAGGCAUCCAAUAGAAUGAUGAACUUCAACCAAACUUCUGCAGUCUUUGAGUUUUAACUUCUCCAGAUGUGGAAGUCUGGAAAAGUCGGGAGUCCGAGAUAGGCAAUGAGAAUGACUGAGAUUAAGAAACUUCAACUUCCAAAGGAACUGAGGAAAAGAAGCAAGAUUCAGGAGUUAGAAAGAAAUUGUUAUUGUUUGAUAGCAUACUAAAGUUUAGAUAAAUAUUUGAUAGUCUUAGCAUACCUUAGAAUUCUUAACCUGUCUGAGGUUGCUGUAUCGCAUAUCUAUAGCAACAAGGUUUUCCCCAUAGAGGCCAUCAGGUAUGAACGAGAGUGGAAAUCCAUGCCAACAGAGCCAGGUUAAUUUUCUCAAAAGAUAUUCACAGCCUCCACCAAGCUUUACAUGAUUGAGCUGGAGCAGCCUUAGGUUUUGCAGAUUGCAAAACACAUUUACAUCAACUUUCAUGUCAUUCACUUUCAGCAAGUUUAUGGCCAUCCCUUGGAUUGCUUCAGUUCCCUGUCAAUAAACCACGUCAAGAGGAAAGGAUCAGAUAUUUUCAAAACAUGAAUUUAUACGAUGAUAAGUUUGAAUGCAUUCACCAUGUUUCUUCUCAAUAUGUCACCAACUUCUUCAGGAAUCCAUAAUCUACUCCGCCUUCCUGGAUUGUUCGGUGACUGCGCACGAACAAUUUCUCUCCCCAUAUCUCUAAGCAAAUCAUGCAUUAUUAGCUUGUUCUUUUCAUUAACAGAUACAAGGCACCUCUGAGUGAGGACACUAAAUCCAAUGUCUGCGAAAAAAUCACAACCAUUUAAUAUUGGUAACACAUAUUCCUUGUCCAUCCCAAUAAAGUAACAGGAUAUAUCGAGGAAUAUAUCUUUCUGCGUGUCAUCAUUCAGGCCAUCAAAACUUAUUUGGAGCUUUUUCUGAAUUUGAUCAUCAGGAAUUCUUCUCAGUUUUUCCAAUGCACUUUUCCAUUCAACUAUACUUCUACCAAAUAGAAAAGAGCCUAUUACUUCAAGUGCUAGUGGCAAUCUUCCACAGUAGUCAACAAUUUGUUCUGACAACUCCUUAUAAUCUUCGACGGGAUGGCUUGUUCGAAAGGCAUGCCAGCUAAAGAGCUCCAAAGCUUCAAUGUCAUUCAUUUCUCUGGCCAUGUAUACUCGAUCAGCUCCAAGAACUGCUAGAACAUGCUUAUCUCUUGUUGUUACAAUGAUUCUGCUUCCUGAACCAAACCAAUCUCGACUCCCCGCUAUCGCUUGUAACUGAUCUAAUUUAUCUACAUCAUCGAGUAUGAGAAGAACUCUUCUACUGUGAAGUCUUUCCUUUAUCAUAUUCAUUCCUCUGUGAACAUUGCCAAUCUUAAUCUUGUCUGUCUUCAGGAUAUCAAAAAGAAGUUGUUCUUGCAGUUUGACAUGACCAUUUGGCUGCUGUGAAAUUUCUCGAACAUUGGCAAGAAAACAUUUCCCAUCAAAACUAUGAAACAACUCAUUAUACAUGGCCUUGGCAAUGGUUGUUUUCCCUAUGCCUCCCAUUCCAUAUAUUCCUACAAUGCAGACCUCGCUUGAUCCAGCAUUUAACAAGAAGUUCAAUUGUUGCACACGAGGAUUUAUCCCAACUGGAUAGAAGGCUACGAACAAGUAUGUGCUCCUCAGUUCUCUCAAAAUCUCCCCAACAAUUUUCUUUAUAAAUUUUGCCUCAUGCCUGCAAUUAAUUGUCAACAAAAUAGUGAGACUUUAAGCAUAAAACAGCCAAUUAGAAUAUAUUAUGUAAAGCACAAUCCAAAAUAUUUUAUAAUUUGUAGUUUUCCUGAAGAAAAUCCAGCCCCAAGCAAAACAUCUCAUAUUCCUUGGAUCACCAUUUAGUUCCUCAACCCUGAAUUAUCUACUGAUAAUGAACUUCUUCGCAAUAUAUAUCGUUACUUAAAUUUUUAAAAUUAUUUAUUUCUUGAAAUCUUUUUAAUUAUAUAUUGGAUAGUGAUGCAUGAUAUCCAUACACCAUAUCGAUCACUCCUCACAAGCCAAAGAAGUGAUUUAUUGACAAAUGCUGCAUCUCGAAAAAAUCCCUAAGAUUCAAAUUUCGUUGUGUUCUUUCCCGGCUUUUGUAUUUAUCAGGACUUCAAAACAAAGAAAGUGAUUGGAUAGGGUAAGAUGUAGGAUGGAGCCUAUCAAUGAUGUUUUGGAAACUCUUUAGUAGCUCAUACUCACUGUAAUUGUGAUUUGGAUUUAAAAAAAAAUCAAGAUGAUAAAAAACUGUAUAAAAACUAAAUUGAAACCAAUUAGUCCUAUAAAAAUUAGAUAAAAAAUAAUUAAUCCUACAAAAACUAAAACAAAAUAUAUCAUGAAAAUCAAUUAAAAAAAUAAAAUGCUUAAAAAAUUCUUCAAAUGGCUUAUUUUUUGAAAAAAAUUAAAAUGAUAAUAUAUUUAAUUGAUCUGAGUUUCACGGCAUAACAACACUAUGACAAUCAUGUAAAAGUAUUUAUUUCAACAAAUAAAUCCCACAAAAAAAAACAUCACAAAGAAAAAUUUAAAAUUAACCAAAUGUUGUUUUUUAAAAAGAAAUUAUUCAAACAACAAAAUACUGGAUCAACCCUAAUUUUUUAGAUUAACUUGUCAAACAUAUGACACAGGAUAUGAUUUUAACUAGAUUUAAUAAUUUUUUAUUAAAUUUUAUUUUUUAUCUUAUAUAAUAUUUUUUAAAAAAAAAACCUGAAAGAAGCUAGAUGUGUGACCAUGGUAGACCAAUAUACCUAGGCCAUCUAAAAGAAAGAGCCUGACCUACACACUUGGGCUUGUUUUUAUUUAUUUUUUUAAUUUUUUAAGGACAAACGAUUUGUCAUCCAUCUCUUUUCUUUAAAAACUAAAUGGAUAACACAUCAACUGCUAUUAGCAAAAUUUUGUGACGGGAGGGUCACAAGAAAAACAUGGCUUUAGUUUUUUUUUUUCAAAAGACCUUAGUUUUUACUCAAAACAUCUAGAAAACACCCUCAACCUAUUUAUGGCCUCAAACCGCUUAAAAGCAGCUCAAAAACCCGAAAUCAAUCCAAAUCCAAAAAUCUUUCAAUAGGCAAAUCUACCUCCUCGUGAAAGGAGAACGAAGAAAAACACCUAGAUCAAACUUUUAUUAUCAAAUGGAACCUAUUAAAACUAAAAUUGAUCAUUUUGUGGUUAAAAGUGGUGUCUCUGAUGGUUUUUUCUCUAUAUAUCGGAAUCCAACUAGCCUCUCAUUCCUCUCACAAGAAAAUGAUCAAAAAAUAAGAAAAAUAAAGUUUGAUAUCAAAAUUGAAUUUCUAUAAACUAAAAGACCUAUUAUCUAUUAACAUAAAAAAUAUGAGGGACCAAACUAAACUUUUUUAAAGAAAUGGUUAAUAGUUAAUAGUCAACAUACUUCUUAGAAUAAUGUGAUUUCUACGAAUUUUUUUUUAUUAUUAUUAAUUAACUCUUAGCCGCUACGGGAUUGUAGUAUCAUCAAAUGGUUAAUAGACAACACACUUCUUAUAAUUUUGUGAUUUCUACAAAAGAAAAUUGUUUAUUAAUUAUUUUCUUCCCAUCUCAAGUUAUUAAUUAAUUAAGUGAAUGAUCACAGAUCACAAUCUCUCUGUUUUGAAAUUCCCAAGCAGAAAGGUUUCGUGUUUCCGCCUGAGACUCGCACGUCAAGGACUCCUUUAAUAAUAACAUGUUCAUCCUUAAUAGCUUUGUAUGCCUGCCCCAAUCAUACGAUUUCGGAUGGUAGAAAAGAAAAACAAUUUAAAUGGUUCAAUUUUAUUUUUUUUAUUAUUAUUAUAUACAAAAGGUUCAAAUUUGAGCAUUUUAUCACUUAGAUCAUAUCAUUGAUAACAUAAGAAUUACUAUUAAUUCAAAUUGUAAAGUCAAUUAAAUUAGUAAGGAUCGAUGGUUAAUUUUAUGAGUGCUUACCCGUCUGCAACAUUCCUCAAAUCCCAUCCAGACAAAUUUGCAGCUUCAGUCAAAGCCAUCCUCCACGUCGCCACCAUGUCCUUGUCCAUCUGGAGCACAAGCCUUUCUUCAUGUUCAGCAAAGGCCUCGGCAAAACUUCCAGUUUGUUCGCUUACAUCAGAUGGAUCAACAUCAUAGAAUAUAGGAAAAACAAGUUGCCUACAACUUCUCCUACACUCCAUGAUCUUCACUAGUUCCUCAAGACACCAUCUUGAAUUUGCAUAAUUUCUUGAGAACACAAUGACUGAAACCCUAGACUUUUGGAUAGCUUGUAAUAGCUCCGUCGAAAUAUCUUCACCCCUUCGGAGCUCAUUGUCGUCUCUAAAUGUGUUGAUUCCAGCAUCUUUUAAGGAAAAGUAGAGAUGAUCGGUGAAAUUUUUGCGCGUGUCCUCACCUCUGAAACUCAAAAACACAUCAUAAAUCCACGGUUUUGAAGAUGAAGACGCAGUUGAAAAUGAAGAUGUCAUUGUAACAUGAAAGCUAUGGUGGUUCGAGUGGAAGAAAGAUAAUGACCAUAAAAGUUUAUGUGAAGGACACUUAUACAGUGAGAGAGACUUGAGUAAUCGCAAUUGGAGUAAUAUCUUUAUUCGUACUCUGAUAGAUUUAUUUAAAAAAUAAAAGAUCAACCAGACAUUUCUAUAAUUUAGUUGUUUUUUUAAAUUCCCUCUAUUCCUUAAAUAAUAUAACGUUCGUAGAUAACAUUUUAUAUCAUCACUCUGAAUUUAAUAAAAUAAAUAAAUUAUUUAUAAAAUUAUCAUUAUAUUUUAUUUAAUUUAAAACUCAAUCAAUUUGUCCACUAGCCAAGGUCAGAUGCAAAAACAAAUUAACCUAAAGUUGACUUAGUUUGGUAAAUUCAAUUAAAAGCUGUUUUGUGAUAUCAUUUUGAUUUAAUCAACUCAAUCCAGAAUAACUAGAGUCUUGAAUAGAGUUAUGGGCAAAGUUAAGUCUAAUAAUAUUAAUAAAUACUAAUUAGUUUUAAUGGUAAUAAAUUUGAGUUCUUUCAAAGCUAUUAGAGACUUAUAUAAUCAUUAAUUUUAGAGUUUGUAGGAUUAGUCGAUGUGUGUGCAAACUGAUUUGGAUACCGAUGUUAAUAAAAAAAAAACAAAUAUUAAUUAAUGAGAUGAUAAAGGUUAAAUAUUAAGAUAGUGUUUGGUAUUGCAAUAACAAUUAUUUUUUAAAUAUAUUUUUUAGAAAUGACUGAAAUCUUGACUUUGCAUAAUUUCUUGAGAACACAGUGACUGAAAUCCUAGACUUUUGGAUCGCUUGUAAUAGCUCCGUCGAAAUAUCUUCACCCCUUCGGAGCUCAUUGUCGUCUCUGAAUGUGUUGAUUCCAGCAUCUUUCAAGGCAAACUAGAGAUGAUCGGUGAAAUUUUUGCGCGUGUCCUCGCCUCUAAAACUCAAAAACACAUCAUAAAUCCACGGUUUUGAAGAUGAAUAUGAAGAAGAUGAAGAUACAGAUGAAAAUGGAAGAUGUUCAUUGUAACAUGAAAGCUAUGGAAGGAUUAAUUCUCCCUCAUACUCCGACGACCAAUGAAAAGUUGCGUAUAUAUACGAGUUCUCUUUUUUUGUCCCGAGAAUAUUAAUGCAGGAGGCAAGAUUUAUGCAUGUGAAAGCGUGAAAAAAUAUUUUUCAUGUUAUAUUUGUUUUUAUAUUUUAAAAGUAUUUUAAAAAUUUAUUUUAUUUUAUUUCUUUGUUUAAAAUUUUUAUUUUUGUGUUUUUAAAUUAUUUUAAUGAAUUGAUAUUAAAAAUAAUGUUUUAAAAAUAAAAAAAUAAAUUUUAAUACAAGUAAAAUUUAAAAACAAAAUGUGUGUCAUCAUUAACUUAUUAUCAAAUCUGAAAAAGUCACUUAAAGUAGAUAGGACUUGGGAGAAUGGUAGUAAUUAGGGGUGUUCACGGUCCGGUUCGGUUCGGUUUUAAUCUAAAAAUUCAACCGAACCGAAAAACAGUAUUUCUUAUUAAUAUAACACGAACCGAACCGAUAACCGGUUCAAACCGAACCGGUUUUGUUCGGUUCGGGUUGGUUUUUUAGCAUAAAAACUAGAAAAACCAGACUCAUCUUCAUCACUGAGCUAAAUCAAAGGAAAAAUCUGACAUCAAAUAUCAAUCUAAGCUAUUAAUCACAGCAACCACUUAGAAAUUCAAGAAAAGCAACUAGAAAAAGCAAAGCCAGCUGUGAAUGCAAAGCCAGCAGCAUCAGUUUGUCCUUUCAAAGCUGUGGAAUGUUUGCAGCUUAAUUCGGGAUCUGGGGAUUUUGGUAUUUUACUCACUGGCCUUUUUAGGGCACGGACAGCCUUUGCAUUUACUAACACGCAGGACAUGUAAUUGGAUUUGCAGCAGCCAGUGCGUGUUGUACUUUUGAUAGGGUUGCUAGGCUUUCAUCUUAAUGUGUAUAGUGCUUUAUGAACCUUGAGCAUAGAGCUGAGAGACUAGGGUCCAUUAAAGGAUAAGAGAACAAUGCACAAGCUCUGUCGGCUGAUCCGUGCUCUCUUUCUUCUAGGUUGGUUUCUUGUGAUCGGGGGGAAAUAGAAGGGAAGGCUUGAGGGGGGGGGUGACGGCUGGAAUGGAGAAAAGUGAUUUAGGGUUCUAGGAAGGGGAAGGAGAAGGGAAAGGGGAAGCCUGGAGGGGGAGAGGGGGGGUUGGCGACUAGAAAUGGAGAAAGUGAUUUAGGGUUUUGGGAAAGGGAAGGGAAAGGGAAAAAGGGGAAGGCUGGAGGGGGAGGGGGGGUUGACGGCUGUUAAGAGUGUAAGUGAUUUAGGGUUAGGAAUUAUUCUUUUUAUACUCUUUUUUUAAACCGGUUCGGUUUGGUCCGGUUCAAUCGGUUUAAGCUUUUUUAAACCGGAAUCAAACUGGACCGGGUGGUUUUUUUUAUUUUUUAAUCGGUUUAUUCGGUUUUUUCUAUCGGUUCGAUUUUUUCGGUUAAUUUUUUCUCGGUUUUUUCAGUUUAAUCGGUUAGUCGGUUUUUUUUAACACCCCUAAUAGUAAUAAUAGAUUUUUGGAUUUGAUUAUUUUUCUUCUUUUAUUUUGAUCGUUUGAAAUGCUUUUUGGGAUUAAAAUUAGAAUUUAAAAGGCUUUUGAAAGGAUUUUGAAAUUAAAUAAAUUGUUUGUUUUUUUAAUAAAAAAAAAUCUGCCAACCCUAAAUUUUUAGUGAGCUUUUGGUCAUCGAAACACCAUAAUAAACAAUUCGUCAGCUUAGAAUGAGCGAUGCAUUGCCCUCAUCUACCCCUCUUUUUUUAAAAAAACAAUGCUUGGGUCAACUUUCCAAAUACAUACUUAUGAGCUAACUCACUAAUCGAGGUGUACCGCCACCUAGGCCUAGCGCAACCUAUCUCGAUUCUUUUUAAUUUAUCCUUUUUUUUCUUAAUUUUUUUGAUCCCAAAAAUUAAUUUUUAUUUUUAUAAAUAUUCAAAUAUUAUUUAUAUGUGAUUUUUUAGCCAAAUUAAUAAAUUCAAAGUUAAAAUAAAAUAACUGCUUGAUAAGUUUUACCAAAUAUUGGUGUGUAGGAAUUAGAUAGAGAUUUUCUUAUUCUUUAAAAAAAUAUUUUAACUUAAUUUAACAUCAAGAUAUGAUCAAAAUUUGUUAUUAAUUUAUUUGGGAAAACUAGAAAAUACAAGUUUUAAAUUAACACAUUUAAAAAAUAUAAGAAUUAUUUAACCAAAUUGACAUAAAUAUAAUAGUAAAUUUAAGGAUUUUGAUUUUUUUUCCCUCAAAAUGCUUACAUAAAAUCUUUAUUUUUCUCUCAUAAAUUAUAACUAAUGAUUCAAUACUUUUUUGCACUAUUCAAAUCGACAUAAAUAUAAUAUAAAAUUUAAGGAUUUUGAUUUUUUUUUCCCUCAAAAUGCAUACAUAAAAUCUUUAUUUUUCUAUCAUAAAUUAUUACUAAUAUCAGAAAUCCAUUCUUUUUAUUGAAUAAGAAAUAUUUUUAAGAUCUUUGUAACAACUAAUAAUUCAAAUUUGUUUUUUCACUUUUCAAUGACAACUUACCAUUCAAUUUAUUAUUGAUACGCUAACUCUUACCUCUUUAAAGGCUAUCUUUAAAAUUAUUGCUUAUAUAAUAAUUAGGGACCAACAUUAGGGAUCAAUUAAUUAUUCGAGUAAUUAUUUUAUUGAGCGGUCGUCUCUUCUUUUGCGUCAACUACUUGAUCAAUUUAACAUUGGGUUUUUAAUUUGAUAAAUAAUUUUUUUUUGUAUUUUAAAAAACUUAUUUUUUUAUUUUAAAUUAAUUUUUUUCAGAUUAAUUAGAUAUAUUAAUAUUAAAAAUUAAUUUAAAAAAAAUUCAUAAAUUUUCAAAUAAAAAAUCACUUUAAAAAAUAUUCAUUAUUAUAAUAUCAAAUAUAUAUUUUUUUAAAAAAUAUACACAAGGUCAACUGCACGGCACGAGACGCAUGUGCCGCGUGCAUCUUGCGAGGGCAUCGCUCAAAUAUGCUAUUUUUAUUUUAUUUUUCUAUUGUUUGAAAAAAACCUCUCUUGAGUUCUCUUGUUAAUAAACAAUAUAUAUUCUGUCAAUGUCGGCCACAAAGAUAGCAACUUGCAGAGAUAGAUAUAGAACACAAUCCAAAUCCCUUUGAAAAACAUUUUAGUUAUACGUUACUGGGGAAUUCAAUUUUUUUUUUUUUACAAGGCUGGUUACCAAAUUAAUUGGAAAUAAAUAAUUUUUUUUAUUUUAAUUAUACUAUUAGAAUACAAAAAAAAUUAAAACUAGAGUCAAUAACCAAUUUUAUAUUCUUACAAUGGUUUUUACAUAAAUAUCAUGUUAAUUUGGUAUUUGACUAGACAUAAAAGAAUAAAAUAAAAAAUCAUAGUGUUGCUCAAUUGACUAGAAACAAUUUUUUUUUUUUUUCAUGUUAAUUAUAGAUAGAAACAAUCAACAUACUGGCAGAAUAAAAAAAAUUAAAGCUAGAGUCAAUGGCCAAUUUUAUAUUUUUACAAUGAUUUUUAUAUAAUUAUCUUGAUCAAAUGAGGGUUCAAUGAGGGGUAAUUUGAUAUUUGACUUUUUUUAUAAUUGAUUUUAAAAAAAAAAAUUCUUUCAAUAUUUAAUUAAUUAGAAAUUAAAAAAAUAAUCUUGAAGAGAUAAUUCAAGUCUAUAAUAAGACGCCUACGGAAUUUAGGGCACAAAACCACCCCAACAAAUAUUGUUGGUUGCAUGCGACGUGCAAUUCGGAACAAAAGUUAUGGCGAAAAUACAGAGAGGGACGUAAAAAAUUCACAAAUCAGACUCCGACUAUCCUUGCGCUGGACUGUCCUGUCAGAAUAGUAUAGCACUUCCAAAAUCUCCUCCAUCACAAAUCAGACACAGGCAUAAUGUAUAGAUCAUUAUGUUCAACAAAAGCUUCAACAAAGACAACAUUGAAAACGCCAUGACCAGAAGAGUGAAGCUAUGCCACAUCCAUGUUUUCCUCGACACUCUGUUGACUGGUCUCAAACCUCAAUCUUUUUGCUUGAGAUGGGUUAUCACAGCUUGAUCCCUCCCCAUAAUCAUUAUCAAGACCUCUCUUACUUCAAGCCUUGCCUCGUCUUGCUCAUAUACUAGGUAUACUCCAUUCUUCUUCACAGUCAUUGUAUUUCCACAAUCUACAAUAGCUCAACUUCAUCUCACUAUCAGUUGGAAACUCUUAUUUGAUAUAUGGCCCUGCCAGAGGUGAUCUUCACAGGAUUUUACUAAGUUAACAGCUACUUUCCGACAAUCCUUGGUAAAACCCUUAGUAUGAUUAGUCAAUUUGAUUGUAAUACUUUUAGUUUGUUUUUUCUCUAAAUGAGAUGAGCAAACAAUGCACACGUUCAUGCCCUUCAAGUUCCUGCCGUCGAAUUCAGGUAGUUUAAACAAUAUUGAAGCACCCUCAUUCUUAUAGUUGAACAAGGCAGGAAUCUCAUUUCCAGGAAGUACCAAACCAGAAAACAUCCCUGCACAAAGAGUACCAUUUUUAUUUUAUAUAUUUAAACAACAACAUAAAAAUGUUUAACAAGUAAAGAGACAGAGAAAGAAUACCUUGUGCAAGCUAUUUUUUAAAGUAUUUGAGAUAUCGUAGCACCCUUCCAUGUCAAUGUCUGUAAUGGACUUCGAUUUAUCCAAUCCUGGAGCCUCAAUCAGUUUGGGGCAAUUAGCAAUAUACAGCAAACGCAUACGUGAAGCUACUGAUAUGUCUGGUAGUCUUUCCAAUGAUGUGCAGUUCAAAGCGUGCAAGACAUCCAAAUUUCUAGGUAAAUCUGGAAUUGUUUGUAGCCUGGUGUUAUCGUCCAAUCUUAGACCGUUAAGCCUCAAAAGACUACUCAAGCCAGCUGGUAGACUUUGAAAACUGUUACGGUCCAAUUCCAGUUUGGUUAGUGAGGGUAAGCUCCCAAGAUCACUAGGAAGCGCAUCAUCAGAUAGAUUGCAAUCACUGAGCAAUAAUGAUGUGAGUCUGUUUAAGCCAUGAAAAGAAGGUGGCAACAGGUUGGUUGGAUUGGGACUUUUUCUUGGCAGAAGCCAUGACAUCAAACGUGAAGGAAAUGUUGCGGAAGUUGAACCUUUACAGCCACAAAGUGAUAAAUCUUUGAGGUUCUUUAGUUUAACUAUUGUACUUGGUACCUGUCUUAUGGCAGUGUCAUCUGCAUGGAGAAUUGUCAAGGAUUCCAAAUCUCCCAAGUCCUCAGGCAAUUCAUCAAAUUUUGAGCAGCCUGAGAGGUAAAGAAUCUCGAUAGACUUCGACUUCCAGAAGCUACUCGGGAGCCUCCUAAGCUGCUUGCAAUCUUUGAGAUUUACCAAAACAAGUCUAUCAAGGUAUCCAAUAGAAUGAUGAACUUCAACCAAACUUCUGCAGUCUUUGAGUUUUAACUUCUCCAGAUGUGGAAGUCUGGAAAAGUCGGGAGUCCGAGAUAGGUAAUGAGAAUGACUGAGAUUAAGAAACUUCAACUUCAAAAGGAACUGAGGAAAAGAAACAAGAUUCAGGAGUUGGAAAGAAAUUGUUAUUGUUUGAUAGCAUACUAAAGUUUAGAUAAAUAUUUGAUAGUCUUAGCAUACCUUAGAAUUCUUAACCUGUCUGAGGUUGCUGUAUCGCAUAUCUAUAGCAACAAGGUUUUCCCCAUAGAGGCCAUCAGGUAUGAACGAGAGUGGAAAUCCAUGCCAACAGAGCCAGGUUAAUUUUCUCAAAAGAUAUUCACAGCCUCCACCAAGCUUUACAUGAUUGAGCUGGAGCAGCCUUAGGUUUUGCAGAUUGCAAAACACAUUUACAUCAACUUUCAUGUCAUUCACUUUCAGCAAGUUUAUGGCCAUCCCUUGGAUUGCUUCAGUUCCCUGUCAAUAAACCACGUCAAGAGGAAAGGAUCAGAUAUUUUCAAAACAUGAAUUUAUACGAUGAUAAGUUUGAAUGCAUUCACCAUGUUUCUUCUCAAUAUGUCACCAACUUCUUCAGGAAUCCAUAAUCUACUCCGCCUUCCUGGAUUGUUCGGUGACUGCGCACGAACAAUUUCUCUCCCCAUAUCUCUAAGCAAAUCAUGCAUUAUUAGCUUGUUCUUUUCAUUAACAGAUACAAGGCACCUCUGAGUGAGGACACUAAAUCCAAUGUCUGCGAAAAAAUCACAACCAUUUAAUAUUGGUAACACAUAUUCCUUGUCCAUCCCAAUAAAGUAACAGGAUAUAUCGAGGAAUAUAUCUUUCUGCGUGUCAUCAUUCAGGCCAUCAAAACUUAUUUGGAGCUUUUUCUGAAUUUGAUCAUCAGGAAUUCUUCUCAGUUUUUCCAAUGCACUUUUCCAUUCAACUAUACUUCUACCAAAUAGAAAAGAGCCUAUUACUUCAAGUGCUAGUGGCAAUCUUCCACAGUAGUCAACAAUUUGUUCUGACAACUCCUUAUAAUCUUCGACGGGAUGGCUUGUUCGAAAGGCAUGCCAGCUAAAGAGCUCCAAAGCUUCAAUGUCAUUCAUUUCUCUGGCCAUGUAUACUCGAUCAGCUCCAAGAACUUUUAGAACAUGCUCAUCUCUUGUUGUUACAAUGAUUCUGCUUCCUGAACCAAACCAAUCUCGACUCCCCGCUAUCGCUUGUAACUGAUCUAACUUAUCCACAUCAUCGAGUAUGAGAAGAACUCUUCUACUGUGAAGUCUUUCCUUUAUCAUAUUCAUUCCUCUGUGAACAUUGCCAAUCUUAAUCUUGUCUGUCUUCAGGAUAUCAAAAAGAAGUUGUUCUUGCAGUUUGACGUGACCAUUUGGCUGCUGUGAAAUUUCUCGAACAUUGGCAAGAAAACAUUUCCCAUCAAAACUAUGAAACAACUCAUUAUACAUGGCCUUGGCAAUGGUUGUUUUCCCUAUGCCUCCCAUUCCAUAUAUUCCUACAAUGCAGACCUCGCUUGAUCCAGCAUUUAACAAAAAAGUUCAAUUGUUUCACACGAGGAUUUAUCCCAACUGGAUAGAAGGCUACGAACAAGUAUGUGCUACUCAGUUCUCUCAAAAUCUCCCCAACAAUUUUCUUUAUAAAUUUGGCUUCAUGCCUGCAAAUAAUUGUCAACAAAAUAGUGAGACUUUAAGCAUAAAACAGCCAAUUAGAAUGUAUUAUGUAAAGCACAAUCCAAAAUAUUUUAUAAUUUGUAGUUUUCCUGAAGAAAAUCCAGCCCCAAGCAAAACAUCUCAUAUUCCUUAGAUCACCAUUUAGUUCCUCAACCCUGGAUUAUCUACUGAUAAUGUUCUUCUUCUCAGUAUGUAUCGUUACCUAAAUUAUUAAAAUUAUUUAUUUAUUGAAAUCUUUUUAAAAAUAAAUUGGAUAGUGAUGAUAUCGUUACACCAAAUCGACUAGUAGUUAGUUUAGUCCCUAACAACUAAUAAGCUCUAGAUACCAGCUCUCUUUUCAAAAGGCACGUUCUUAUAACAAAACCCACUGUGAGGUUAAGAGUAAAAACAUGAGACAAUACCUCUUCAGAGGUUAAUUAUAUAACAGAUUUGAGCCAACAUCAUCAUUGAUGUUUUCUGUGAAUCAUGUGAGAAGAUCAACUUGGAUUUGCAUCACAUGAAUCUUGGUCCAACAUUCCAAAAAAUGAUCCCAACGUUCUCCAAUUGACGGUCCAAAUUGCUUGGUUUCAAAAUUGAAAAGUGCAGGUUAGAUUUUCAAGAUCGAUCACUCCUCCCAAGCCAAUGAAUUGAGAUCACAACAUAUAUAAUCAAUAAGAGUUUCAUGACUUAACAAUACUAUGACAAUCAUGUAAAAGUUAAAUUUCAACAAAAAAAAUCUCAUAAAAAAAAAAUACAUUACAAAGACAAAUUCAAAAUAAACUAAAUAUUUUUUUUAAAAAUUCAAUCUAACAUAAUUUUUAAAAAAUUAUUCAAAUAACAAAAUAUUAGAUCAACUUGAAUUUUUUAGAUUAACUUGUCAAACUUAUAACACAAGUCAUGAUCUCAAUUAGAUUUCAUAAUUUUUUUUAUUAAAUUUAUUUUUUACCUAAUAUAAUUUUUUUUUUUUAAAAAAGCCUAAACAGAGUCAAAUGUGUGAGCAUGGUAGACCAAUAUGCUUGGGCCAUCUAAAAAAAAGAGCCCCACCCUCAAAACUAGGCUUGUUUUUAUUUAAUUUUUAAGGGAUCAACACCCUGUCAUCCAUUUAAAAAAAAAAAACUAAACAAAUAACACGUUAACUGUUGUUUUUAAAAUUUUGCGAUUGGAGGGUCACAAGAAACAUAGAGCUUUUGUGGUCAAAAUUGAUGUUAGUGAUGAUUUUCUUUCUCGACUUUGAAAUUCAACUAGCCUCUCUCCUCUCAUAAAAAAAAGAUCAAAAAAUAAAAAAAAUAAACUUUAUUUUUAAGGGAUAAACAACCUGUCAUCCAUUAAAAAAAAAAAAAAACUAAACAAAUAACACGUUAUCUGUUGUUUUUUAAAUUUUGCGAUUGGAGGGUCACAAGAAACAUAGAGCUUUUGUGGUCAAAAUUGAUGUUAGUGGUGAUUUUCUUUCUCGACUUUGAAAUUCAACUAGCCUCUCUCCUCUCAUAAGAAAAAGAUCAAAAAAUAAAAAAAAUAAAGUUUAUUGUCAAAAUUAAAUUUUUACCAACUAAAAAACCAAUUAUAUAUUCACAUAAAAAUAUGAGUGACCAAACAAUUUUUUUUUCAAAGAAAUGGUUAAUAGUUCAUGGUCAACAUACUUCUUAGAAUAAUGUGAUUUCUACGAAGACAUUUUUUUUUUUUUAAUUAACUCUUAGCCGCUACGGGAUGAUAUAAUCAUCAAAUGGUUAAUAGACAACACACUUCUUAUAAUUUUGUGAUUUCUACAAAAGAAAACUGUAUAUUAAUCAUUUUCUUCCCAUCUCAAGUUAUUAAUUAAUUAAGUGAAUGAUCACAGAUCACAAUCUCUCUGUUUUGAAAUUUCCCAAGCAGAAGGUUUCGUGUUUCCGCCUGAGACUCGCACGUUAAGGACUCCUUUGGUAUCAUUGCCAUUUGCAAUUUUUUUGUUUCAUUGAAAUUGUUUUUAAAAUUUAUAGCAUUUUUUGACAUACAAGUUGUUAGUUCUUCUACCAAAAUUAUACUUUAUUUUAACAUCUUCAUCCUUAAUAGCUUUAUCGUACGAUUUCGGAUAAUAGAAAAAAAAAAAACAAUUUAAAUGGUUCAAAUUCGAGAAUUUUAUCACUUAGAUCAUAUCAUUGAUAACAUAAGAAUUACUAUUAAUUCAAGUUAUAAAGUCCAUUAAAUUAGCAAGGAUGGUUAAUUUUAUGAGUGCUUACCCAUCCGCAACAUUCCUCAAAUCCCAUCCAGACAAAUCUGCAGCUUCAGUCAAAGCCAUCCUCCACGUCGCCACCUUGCCCUUGUCUGUCUGGAGCACAGACCUUUCUUCAUGUCCAGCAAAGGCCUCUGCAAAACUUCCAGUUUGUUCGCUCACAUCAGAUGGAUCAACAUCAUAGAAUAUAGGAAAAACAAGUUGCCUACAGCUUCUCCUACACUCCAUGAUCUUCACUAGUUCCUCAAGACACCAUCUUGAAUUUGCAUAAUUUUUUGAGAACACAAUGACUGAAAUCCUAGACUUUUGGAUAGCUUGUGGUAGCUCCGUCGAAAUAUCUUCACCCCUUCUGAGCUCAUUGUCGUCUCUGUAUGUGUUGAUUCCAGCAUCUUUUAAGGCAAAGUAUAGAUGAUCGGUGAAAUUUUUGCGCGUGUCCUUGCCUCUAAAACUCAAAAACACAUCAUAAAUCCACGGUUUUGAAGAUGAAUAUGAAGAUGAAGACGCAGAUGUCAUUGUAACAUGAAAGCUAUGGUGGCGAGAGAAAGAACGUGAAAUGGUACAAAAUUAAUGACUCCAAAAACCGAGGUGUUCCGCUACCGAGGCCUAGGGCAACCUAUCUCAAUUCUUUUUAAUUUAUCCUUUCAUUUCUUAAUUGUUUUCAUCCCAAAAAUUAAUUUUAUUUUUAUAAAUAUUAAAAUAUUAUUUUAUAUGUGAUUUUUUAUUCAAAUUAAUAAAUUCAAAGUUAAAAUAAAAUAAGUGAUUGAUCAGUUUUACCAAAUCUUGGUGUAGGAAUUAGAUAGAGUUUAUCUUAUGUUUCUUUUAAAAAAUAUAUUUUAACUUAAUUUAACAUCAAAAUUAGUUAUUAAUUUAUUUGGGAAAACUAGAAAAUACAAGUUUUAAAUGAACACAUUUAAAGAACAUAAGAAUUAUUUAACCAAAUUAACGAAAAAAAAUGAUUGAAAUAAAUAAUUGACAUAAAUAUAAUAGUAAAUUUAAGGAUUUCGAAUUUUUUUUUUCUCAAAAUGCUUACAUAAAAUCUUUAUUUUUCUCUCAUAAAUUAUAACUAAUGAUUCAAAUAUUAUUUUACUUGUAACUUAUUUAUAUAUUUUUGUAAGAUUAACAUAAAUAUCUGAAUCAAUUUUCAUACAUCUUAUUUAAUUUUAUGGAUCUAAAAUUAAUAAUUAUAUAUACUUAAGCUUAUAUCUAUUAAAUUUAAAAUUUAACGAAUUAUACUAACUGAUGAACUUAUUUAUAUUUUUCCUGUAAAAGAGUUGACUGUAAGUGGGAAGCCAGCCAUAAAUCCAUGCUAAUUCAUUAUUUUAUUAUUUUAUUUUAUAUGGUGGGAAUUGUUUUAUUGUUUUUUCAAGAGAGGUGCAUGUGCCGCGUGCAUCUUGCGAGGGCCUCGCUCAAAUAUGCUAUUUUUUUUUUCUAUUGUUUGAAAAAAACCCCUUGAGUUCUCUUGUUAAUAAACAACAUAUAUUCUUUGUCAAUGUCGGCCACAAAGAUGGCAACUUGCAGAGAGAUAUAUAUAACAAUCAAAAUACUCUUAAAAAACAUUUCAGUCACGUGAGUGAAAAUACUAUUUUAAUAUUUUUAUCACGCAAUCAAAAAAUUUAAAUACGUUACUGCGGAAUUGAAUUUUGUUUUACAGUGCUGGUUAAUAAAUUGAUUGGAAACAAGUAUUUUUAUUUUAUUUUAAUUAUAGUAUAAACAAAAUUAAAACUAGAGCCAAUGGCCAAUUUAAUAUUUUUACAAUGGUUUCUAUAUCAUUAUCAUAUCGAAUAAGAGGUAAUUUGGUAUUUAACUAGACAAAAUAAAAUAAAAUAAAAAAUCAAAGUGUUGCCAAAUUUAUUGGAAACAAAUGAAUUUGUUUUUUAAUUUUAAUUAUAUAGAGAAACAAUCAAAAUACUCCUGAAAUUAAAAAAUUAAUAAAGCUGGAGUCAAAAGCUAAUUUUGUAUUUUUACAGUACUUUUUACAUAAUUAUCAUGUCAAAUGAAGCGUAAUUUAAUAUUUGGCUAGGCAUCAAAUUUUUUUAAAAACACAUUUUUUUAAAACAUUUUAUAUAAUUGAAUUUCUUUAACCUUUGAUAUUUUUACAGUAGUUUUUACAUUAUUAUCAUGUCAAUGAGGGGUAAUUUGAUAUUUGACUAGGUAUAAUUUUUUAAAAAAAUAUAUAUAUAAUUUUUUUUGUUUUGAAUCCUUUUAUAUAAUUAAAUUUUUUUAGCCUUUGAUCUUUAAUUUUUUUUUAAUCUUAGUCAAAUUAAGGUCUGAUUAAGUCUUUUUUUUCUUUAAUUUCUCUUCAAUCAAAUCCUCAUUUAUCAUCUAAAAAUUUUCAAACUUUAUUUUUGCUUGUGAUGCUCAAUUAAUAGUUAUAUUUUAACCCCAACUAUAUUUUUAAUUUUUAUAUAUACAUUUUAUUUAAUUUUUUAUUUUAUUUAUUGAUGAUUUUUAUUGUUUUUAACACAAAAAAAUUAAAUAAAAAUAACAGCUAUAAUAAAAUAACUAAAUUCAUUGAAAAUACUUUUUUUUCUCGCGUAAUUUUGACAAAUUAUCGGAGCGCUCUGUAUUUUAAAAAAUAAAGUAGAUCAUAGCUUUUGGUUUGUGGGGACUAAAACAUUCAAUUAUUAUAAAAAAAUAUUUUUUUUUAUGUGUUUUAAAUCAUUUUGAUACGUUGAUUUAAAAAAAAAAAAUAUUAUUUUAAUGUAUUUCAGCACAAAAAAUACUUUAAAAAACAACCAUAAUGAUACUUACCGCAAUUAAGUACUUCUCUCGAGUUUUUGCUUCUCUCAAAAUGUCAUUUUUUUGCCUCUUUAUUUUGCUUGUCUCAUGUUGUCAUUUUUUACUGUUCACAGUCAAUGUUUCAUUGAGUUUUGUUGUUGUUUCUUCUUUGAUUAUUGAUGACCGGGGAUGGGUUGCAUUGAUGGAGAAUGAAGUGUUAAGGUCAAACGUCCUUUUGUCUUACUGAGUUUUUUUUUUUGAUGGACAGGCCUACCUUACCUAAUGUUUUGCAUCAUGAAAACUCCAGGACGUGUUAAUUUAAAAGAUAUCAUGAUGGGUAAUAUACAAUUAUUUUCUUUUAUUAUUUAUUAAAGGUAAAAUAAUUUUUUUGUUUUUUUAGUUUAUUUUAUAUAUAGUUUUUUAUAUUUUGGUUAAGUUAAAUUUUUCUUAAAUAUUUAAUUAUUUAUUAUGCUUCUUUAUUAUUUUUUAUAUUUCUUUGGAUUGUUUGUUUGAGAGGAGGCUGAAGGAGGAGGAGGGAGUUCUGGGUUUAGUGCUCGAUGGUGAUUUCUGUUUGUUUAUAUGGUGAUGGUCAUGGGUAGGAAGUCAAUGGGAGAGGAGAGUGGUUAAAAAUGAUAGCUAACGACUAUUGGAGAUGUCAUGGUUGUUGUCAUGGUUUGGUUCUGUGAUUAUUGGAGAUGGCUGUUGAAGUUAAAAAUGAUAGCUAACGACUGAGAACUGAAGCUGAAUUACUGGGAGGAUUUUGGAUAUUGAAGCUAAAAGGAUUUUGGCUGUUGAAGGGUGUUUUGAUGAUGGUUUUUUUUAAGUUGAAUCUGGUUGAAGACUGUGUUGUAACUUUUUUAUAUAUAUAUAUUAACGUGGGUGUCUGGGCUAUAGUUUUGAAACCUGACCCGGUCAAGUGAUCGGGUCACAGGUCAGAUGGGUUAAUUCGGGUCAACCUAAAAAAAUUAAUUAUAACCCACUAACCCAUUCAGUUCAUCAGGAACAUCUUCACCAGCACAUGAACUAUACUCAUAAUAAAACCCCUUACGAGGAACCAAGGAAUUUCCAAAAUCAGCAUACUUACAAUCCAUGUUUAGUUUAUUUUUACCUUGGCAACUACCACUAGCUUUUCCAUUUGCUUCAAUCGAGUAGAAGAGGAAAAUGAUUGAUUCAUUUAAAAAUUAAAAAAAUAAUUAAUUGAACAUUGUUCUGUUCACAAAAUUCUUAGCUGUCACUGAAAGGGAAUACAAAUACCCUUAGCAACAAGAAUACAAAAGCAAAGAUAACAAAAAUUCCAAAAUCACUAAUCUUUCUUUCUUUCUUUUUUGUUGUUCUUUUUUACAGUUAUAGCUCAAAUCUUACAACAGCUAAUCCAUUGUACUUUCCUCAACAACCACAAAAGACAAACACGAUUAGUACUUUUAAGCUAAGAUUACCUGGAUUGGGGGGGUUCCGUUUGGAUCGACGCCUAUAUUUCUUCUUUUCCUUAUCAACAGUAUCAUCACCCCCCUCAACCACUGUUACUGCCGAUUGCUCACUCAAACUUCUCAUACCUGAAACCAAGGCACCUUCUGAUUGUUAAAAAAUAUCAUGGAAGAACCGAUGAUAAUGGGAUAUAAAAUUAAAACGAAAAUCAAGAAAGAAAAAAAGGGGAAAGAGAUGUAGGUUCUUAUAAAGAGGCAGUGUGGGAAGCUAAAAAGGAAAAGAGGGACGUGAUUAUUGAUCGGCUGAGACAAACUCUUAUAACGACGUCGUUUAAUGGCUGCUAAUAUUAAAAAAAAAAAUAGACCGGGUCUCACCCGGGUUUGAGCGGGUGGACCGAGUUCCUGGUCGACCCGCCGAGUUGACCGGGUUUCACCGGGCCAACUCCUAAGCGGGUUUUUACCUUCACCCGGACCGGUCCUAGGCCCGGGUCGGCCGGGUCGCGGGUCGGCCCGCCAGGCUAGUCCGGGUUUCAAAACACUGGUCUGGGCCAGCUUGCGUGUACCUUGACUAGUUUCAUGAGCCAUGAAGUUAAUGAUCAUGUAAGUUUCUAGUGGUCCUGAGAUUUGGGGGAUUUAAGCUAGUGAUUUCUAGAACGUAAAUGUAAAACCUGACUAGUUGAACUAAGUUGUUAAUUAUGGAGAAGGAGAGAAGGUUAUUGUCAUGGUAUGUGUUGGCUUUUGAAAACUAUAGAGACUGACCUCAUAUAAAUAAUGAUAGCAUUUUGGUGACAAAAACAAGCUUUUUUUCGACGAGGUCCACUUAGCCACAAGCUAGACAUUAUUUGAAUUAUGGGAUUCAUGAGCUUGGAGAAUUACAAUAUAAAUACGAAAAGCUCCUCCAGCCACAUGUUUAUUUAUGCUAGAUCUUUACUUUAUUACAAUCAUAGACCAUACGGAUGCAGUUUAAUCACAUCCAGAAAUGAUUAAGCAAGACAUGAUGGUCAAUAAUUAUUCAUGAUUCCAAGCCAAAAGAAGGGCCAUCUAAAGGAAGAGGAGAGAGGGACACCAUGACAUUCCGGUUGCUAGAAAAACCUAAUUAAUCUCCUAAUGCUUUAAAGCAUGAUAUAUAAUAUAUAUAUAUAUAUAUAUAUAUAUAUAUAAAGACCAGAUUUGAAAACCUACAUUAACCUAGAUAUAAAAGCUGCCGAAUACUAAUCUCCAAAGAAAAUGGAAGUCUCUUUAAUCUCUGGUGAUUGAAAAGAAAAAUAUAAACAUAUUAAGGAUCUGGUUUUUCGAUGGGGAUGAAGGUUGAUAUUGGUUUUUGUGGAAUUCUAGAGGUUGAUGUUCGUCUCCUAGCUAGCUGAUUGAGAGGCUACUGAGUUCAUUUGGGGAUGAUGUUUAGGGUAUGGUGAUCUCGGGUAAAGCCUGGUUGUUUCGGUGAAGGCUGUUGAAUCAAGGGUUGGAGAAGGGAUGGUUUAUGGCUUGAGGUUUCCGUUUGAUUUUGGUGAAGGAUUGGUGGUGGUGUUAGGCAAGGCAGUGAUGGUAUUGAAGGAAGGUUGAGGGCUGGUAAUGUCUUUUCUGGUUCUCUCUUUCUCCCUGUGCUGGUGUUGGUUCUUGAGGAACCUGAGCCUAUUCUUCGUCCUUUUUAAGUUUUUAAGGAGAAUCUAAAAUUAAUGCAGUCUCAAAUGAUUUUUAGGACUUGCUUCCUGGAGAUUUGAUUGUAGAUUUGGACUUGAUAUCAACCAAGCAUUAGUGUUUUCUUUCAUUAUUUCUGAACGUGUCUUUUUUAUAUUUUGCUCCUUUCAAGUUUUCAAUUCUUUAUUGUUCAUAGUCAAUGCAUUGUUGAAACUCUAAUAAUAACAUUAUAGGUACUAUUAGAAAAAUCUCGACAAGAUCAAUUCAAUGAUACAAAAAAUUUAGACUUUAGAAUAAUUAAGAUUUAGCUUAAUACGGUAGAGAUUUCCUCAUAAAAAAAAAAAUCUACCUUGAACCUUAGCUAAAACCAUGACUUCCAUGACCUUUUCAGAAUACGGGAAAAGAUCUGAGAUGAUACAAUUAGUUGAAGGGGAUUGCCAAAAAUCAAGAUUGAGAAAUUACUGCACAUAACCAAAGUACACUACUCCAUAGACAACAUAAAGAAGUUGGCGUCAAUUCUAGGGUACAUAUAUGAGAAUCUGUUUGAGAAAAAGUAUGGGAGAAUUGCUCAUUUAAUAAGGAUUCUCGUUCAAAUUUCAGUAGUUAAAGCUUUGAUGCACUUCUAGAAUCCGACCUACAGAUGUUUCACAUUCGAGGAUGUUGAUAUGACCCCUACCCUUGAAGAGUAUGCCUAGAUCUUGAGUUUCCCAAAUGACCCUCACAAAGUGUAUUUCAGGCAAAGAUUUGAGAGGACAACUGCAACGGUUGUAAAAUUACUGCAUCUAGACCAAGUUGAUUAGUAUAAGACAUCUAAUGGAGGGUUUAAGUGGAAGAUGAUUGAGAAUAAACUGAAGAUAAAUAAAGAAAAAAAAAAGUUGGGCAAAGAAAGGUAUCAAAUAGUUGUUUUCAUCAUUUUUAAGGUAGUUCUGUUUCCUUCAAAAACUCUUGGGAUUAUCAUCAUUGAAGCUGCUAACGCCUUUAUUGAAUUUGAAUAGACAAAGAAUAACCCAACUGCAGCUAUCUUAGCUGUAACUUUCCUAUCUCUAAGCCAUUAUAGGCUGCACGAAAAAGGGGUAAUGUGGUGUUGUGUUCCUUCAUUAUUCAAAUGGAUAGUUAGCCACUUGGAAACAUCAAAACAAGUCUUCAAUAAUUUCUGGUGGUUUAACAUGAGGCUUCUUGGGGUUGGUACUAGAUGAAGAUUGGAACGACAUGGAUGAAAAGGCAUGGGUAAAGAAAUACCAAGCACUCCCUCAGAGUAAUUUCAAAUGGAAAGCUUUUUGGGUAAAUAGCUUGACUUAUCUCAUGAGUUGUGGCGACAAAGCAUGUGUUUCAUUAAUUGACUUAGCUGGUUAUAUUAACUACUCACCCUCAUUGGUAGCCAAACAAUUUAGUAUUAUGAUUAUUAUGAACCCUAACUGGUCAACAGAGAUUAUAUGGUACAAAACUGGUUACAUAAAAGGGAAUAUAUUAUCACCCCUUAAGCGUUCUACUUGAGGCAAGUUUCAUUGCUGGUUUUGUCUAAAAUUGUUAAGAAUUUGUUCUCCUCUUUUUCUUAUAAUAUUCCUGACUCUAGCGUAGUGAAUAUUUAGCUAUGAAUAUUUCAUACUCUAGUGUUGGUAAAUAUUGCACAAACUCAAAAAGUGUGAUAUUUCCUAUUUUAGCGCUAGUAAAUAAAUUCAAAAAAAUUGAAUUUUUAAUUGAAGAAAAAACAUUUUUUCUGUGCCUUUCUCUCUCUCUUCUUUUUUUUUUUUUUUUGCUUUGUUUAGACAAGAAGAAAAAAUGAUGCAUUGCAUAACUAGUUUGUGUUUAAUUGUAAAGGUUCGUCGAUUUAACAUGCAACGGAUGCAACAAAAAAAAACAAUACGCAAAGAAAAAAAAUAAAACAAAAUAUGAGGGGCCAUAAAUAAAUCAAUAAAGAUCCCUGAAUAUUUCUAGAAUUUUCAUAUAUAAAAAAAACUCAUUUGAUUAGAUAUCAAAACAAAUAGACAAUAAAAUUCAUAAGAAUUAAAGGCACAUGGAUGUGUUUUACAUGUACCUAGCUAAAAGUAUGUACUUUUUUUUUACUAGGCUGGAUCUAGCCCAAUCAUACAAAUUAGGCCGGACCUAGCUGGCCCGGCCUGAUCAUUGGCCAAGCCAUUGAACCAGCCAGGCAGGCCAAGCCAUUGAACCGGCCAGGCAAAACUGCAUGCAUGCGUGAAUUAUUCACGCACGCAAUGCAUAAUGCGAAGUAAUUAUAAUUCCGUUCACACUGUAUCAAAUGAACAGAAUUUGCAAAGUGGGAAAGAGACUCACCUGGCGCUGUUGAAUUAGAGCUACAGUCCCAGANNNNNNNNNNNNNNNNNNNNNNNNNNNNNNNNNNNNNNNNNNNNNNNNNNNNNNNNNNNNNNNNNNNNNNNNNNNNNNNNNNNNNNNNNNNNNNNNNNNNGAGAAGAGAGGAAGCUGACUCCGAUGGAGAAGAGCUUCUCACGACUGAGGAGCUGAUGGACACUGGCCGGAGGAGCACGGUGGGGAGAGAGGUUUCCCAGUUGGAGCUUGCAGCCUGCUGCCGUUUACGGCUGGUACAGAGCUGCUUGCUGGAGGAAGAUCUUCUCGGUGGUGACUGGUACUGUGUUGUUGAAACCAGUACUGCCGCUGCUGGGAAGAGAAGGUUGCUGCUGGUUCUGCCACUGCAGCUGAGGAAAGGUGUGGCUGAGGAGCACCUGCUGUCGCUGCUUCAAUGGAAAAAAAAGACUCCAGGUGCUGCUGCUACUAGGUAUACUCCAUUCUUCUUCACAGUCAUUGCAUUUCCACAAUCUACAAUAAGCUCAACAUCAUCUUCACUAUCAAGUUCGAAGCUCUUAUUUGAUAUAUGGCCCUGCCAGAGGUGAUCUUCACAGGAUUUUACUAAGUUAACUGCUACUUUCCGACAAUCCUUGGUAAAACCCUUAGUAUGAUUAGUCAAUUUGAUUGUAAUACGUUUAGUUUGUUCUUUCUCUAAAUGAGUUGAGCAAACAAUGCACACAUUCAUGCCCUUCAAGUUCCUGCCGUCGAAUUUUGGUAGUUUAAACAAUAUUGAAGCACCCUCAUUCUUAUCUCUUGUUGUUACAAUGAUUCUGCUUCCUGAACCAAACCAAUCUCGACUCCCCGCUAUCGCUUCUAAUUUAUCUACAUCAUCGAGUAUGAGAAGAACUCUUCUACUGUGAAGUCUUUCCUUUAUCAUAUUCAUUCCUCUGUCAACAUUGCCAAUCUUAAUCUUGUCUGUCUACAGGAUAUCAAAAAGAAGUUGUUCUUGCAGUUUGACAAGACCAUUUGGUUUCUGUGAAAUCUCUCUGACAUUGGCAAGAAAACAUUUCCCAUCAAAACUACGAAACACCUCAUUAUACAUGGCCUUGGCAAUGGUUGUUUUCCCUAUGCCUCCCAUUCCAUAUAUUCCUACAAUGCAGACCUCGGUUGAUCCAGCAUUUAACAAAAAGUUCAAUUGUUGCACACGAGGAUUUAUCCCAACUGGAUAGAAGGCUACGAACAAGU
RNAcentral lists this long non-coding RNA (33332 nucleotides) under Populus tremula. RNAcentral describes it as "long non-coding RNA (PTRE_LNC001715)". Lineage: Eukaryota; Viridiplantae; Streptophyta; Magnoliopsida; Malpighiales; Salicaceae. The record is from RNAcentral.